CCCAGACUCCUACGGGAGGCAGCAGUGGGGGAUAUUGCACAAUGGGGGGAACCCUGAUGCAGCGACGCCGCGUGGGUGAAGGAGCGUUUCGGCGCGUAAAGCCCUAUCGGCAGGGAAGAAGGAGGACGGUACCUGACUAAGAAGCCCCGGCUAACUACGUGCCAGCAGCCGCGGUAAUACGUAGGGGGCAAGCGUUAUCCGGAUUUACUGGGUGUAAAGGGGGCGCAGACGGCAGCGCAAGCCAGGAGUGAAAGCCCGGGGCCCAACCCCGGGACUGCUCUUGGAACUGCGCGGCUGGAGUGCAGGAGGGGCAGGCGGAAUUCCUGGUGUAGCGGUGAAAUGCGUAGAUAUCAGGAGGAACACCGGUGGCGAAGGCGGCCUGCUGGACUGCGACUGACGUUGAGGCCCGAAAGCGUGGGGAGCAAACAGGAUUAGAUACCCCCGUACAU
RNAcentral lists this ribosomal RNA (449 nucleotides) under uncultured bacterium. RNAcentral's name for it is "partial 16S ribosomal RNA". It matches the Rfam family "Bacterial small subunit ribosomal RNA", at positions 330 to 794 of the family's 1533-position model. The record is from RNAcentral.